GGCUGUUUAGCUCAGUGGUAGAGCGCGGGUCCCGUAAACCUGAGGUCGAGGGUUCGAUCCCCUCAGCGGCCU
This is a non-coding RNA of Diplonema papillatum, 72 nucleotides long. The record is from the annotation of a GenBank genome assembly. NCBI's taxonomy places the organism in Eukaryota, Euglenozoa, Diplonemea, Diplonemida, Diplonemidae.